AGAAUCAACGCUGGCGGCGUGCCUAACACAUGCAAGUCGCACGAGAAAGUGGAGCAAUCCAUGAGUACAGUGGCGCACGGGUGAGUAACACGUGAAUGAUCUACCUCCGAGUGGGGAAUAACCUAGAGAAAUCUGGGCUAAUACCGCAUAACACUUACGAGUCAAAGCAGCAAUGCGCUUGGAGAGGAGUUCGCGGCCGAUUAGCUAGUUGGCGGGGUAAUGGCCCACCAAGGCGAUGAUCGGUA
RNAcentral lists this ribosomal RNA (245 nucleotides) under uncultured bacterium. RNAcentral describes it as "partial small subunit ribosomal RNA". It matches the Rfam family "Bacterial small subunit ribosomal RNA", at positions 26 to 285 of the family's 1533-position model. The record is from RNAcentral.